GUUUGAUAAAGACAGCGCUGUGGUUUGAUAGUUACAGACACAAGUGCGGAAGAGUGAGUAUGCUUGCUUACGUGCUUACGGUAAUUUUGGCUGUGCCUCAAGUAUCAGUGUUUGAUAACUGCAUCUGGAUAGAUCUAUAAAGGGGGUUUGCUUUGCUGAGGAUGUGAGUUUUUGAGUACUAAGAACGGGUGGGAUUUAUGGGGUGCUAGAAAUAGAAGUGUCAAAGGAAGGUAGUAGGUGUGGUGGCAGUUGCAGGAUUGGUAGACAGGUAGUAAAACUCUGUGCC
Molecule: long non-coding RNA, 286 nt
Filed under: Gallus gallus (chicken)
Lineage: Eukaryota; Metazoa; Chordata; Aves; Galliformes; Phasianidae
Source: RNAcentral